Long non-coding RNA from Lucilia cuprina (Australian sheep blowfly), 474 nucleotides. RefSeq lists it as uncharacterized. The record is from RefSeq and is a predicted model, not a curated record. The transcript is spliced from 2 exons. NCBI's taxonomy places the organism in Eukaryota, Metazoa, Arthropoda, Insecta, Diptera, Calliphoridae.
UUUCUGUUUGCAAUUUGUCAUUAAGUUAGUCGGUCGUGAGACUUUGGUGCGAGUGGGUCGUUUUUAAAGUUAUAAACGGAGUGUGUUAUUUUUUAAUUUUAUACUUUAAAGUAUAAAAAAAGAAUUGUUUCUUAUAUUUGCAAUUUUCAUUGCCGUGCAAAAAUAAGACAAUUUCUUUUACAAGAGGAUUUAAAUAAUAAAAUCAAAAGAAAAAAAGAAAAUCUAAACGCUAAAAGAAAAAACCACAAAAAAAGUUACGUCAAACAUUUGGAUUUUUAUAAAAUCAAAAAAAGGUAAGUGAAGCAAAUUAAAACCAAAGAACACAUGUCUUUUGGUAACCAAGAAAAAAAAUAUUCAAUAGAAAUUAAUUUGCAAAAAAGGACGUGUGGAAAAAUCAUAGACACACAUUGACCUUUAAAAUAAACUUGAAAUAGUUUAAAAUAAAUCAUAUCACCGGUUUUUGUUUUAAAUAUU